AUGCCAAAACGGAUGUACUUACCUCAUUCACCUUUCUUGGUGGCUGCUCUUGGUCUCCAAACUGUUGAGAUGCUGCUGCCAUGGUGGAAAUUAAAUUCCUAAUCUCUCGAGGUGAUUUGUCUUCAAUUGACCCUCUACAAGCUGCAUCAAUAAACUUCCUUUCUGCCGGUAGUAAUCCUCCAUAGAAAUAUUCGAUGAGGGAUUUGUCAGAAAUAUCAUGCUGGGGGCAGCUUGUGCACAGCCUCUUGAAUCUCUCCCAGUACUCAUAUAGGCCUUCAGAAUGCUUUUGCCUUAUGCCACUUAUUUCACGACGGAUGCCAAUGGCUUUUGAGGUAGGAAAGAAUUUGCUCAAAAAUGCCCUUACCAUCCCAGCCCAUGAUGUGAUGGAACCGGGUGGUAAGUAAAAUAGCCAAUCCUUGGCAUAGUCUUCAAGAGAGAAAGGAAAAGCUCUAAGUUUGACAUGGUCUUCUGAAAUUCCUUGAGGUCUCAUGGUUGCGCACACAAUGUGGAAUUCCUUCAAGUGCUUGUGAGGAUCCUCAUUUUCAAGGCCUCUAAAUUUGGGAAGGAGAUGUAUCAGACCUGUUUUCAAUUCAAAAGGUGCUGUUAGUUGGGGAUAAGUUAUGCAUAAUGGUGCUUGGUCUUCAGCUGGCAUAGCCAGCUCUCGGAGUGUUCUCUCCCGUGGCUGUGGUGCUUGGACAGGUAGGUUCCCAGCUUGAAUUUCAGCUUCUUCACGUGCAACAGGGGGUUCUACCAUUGCUGGAUUUUCUGCAGUACCCUGGAAUCCUGUUUCUGGUGCAACUUCAGCAGUGGCAGAUGCGGCAGUAGGCGAGUCUGCUGGUGAAAAAAUUUCUGCAGCAGGGGCAGUAGGUGAUUUUGCUGGUGCAGUGGCAGAUCGGACGACAGGCUCCAAAUUAGUUGCUGUUGCUGAUGAAGAUGCUUUUGAGGCUUGGUUCCUCAAGUUUGCUUGCUUCCUUAAGCUUUUGGCGGUGCGUUCUAUCUCCGGAUCAUAAAGAAAAUUUUCUUUACGGCCAGCCCUGGUCAUAAAGGGAAAAUACGUUAGUUUAAAUCAAAUUCCCGGCAACGGCGCCAAUUUUUGAUAGCGGUUGUCGAAGCCGUAAAAAAUAAACCUAUUAGACAAUCAACAAUUAACUUGCAGAUAGUGGCAAUAGGAUCGAACCACAGGGAUUUGACACCAACGAUCUUCCUAAUAAUGACUAAGGCAAAUAAAUAACAAAUAAGUAAAAGAGGGGGGUUUGUUUUGAUGAUUUAAAUCUAAAAAGCAAAAGAGAGCAAUAAUUUAAAUAAAUGAGAAUUUCAAUGGGAAAGAGAUUCUAGUUGAAGUAUGAGUCUAUUUCAGUUUGUUUAGAAUUGAUCAUUGAUUAUUUAAGACUCCUAUUUUAUUUCAAUAAAUUAGUUUUGGUUGUGGAAGACGCUUCUCACAACCAAAUUCCUCCUUAGUUCUAGUUUGAUUAGGAAACGUUCGCCAAUCAAACACUAAUCAACAAGUUGCCAAGGAACGUCCUUGGGGCAUUUAGCAUCGAACAACUGUUGACUGCAUUAAGACUUAGAGAAACCCAAUUCUAUCCUUGCCAACCGCGUGGUCAAGUCUAGAUUAUGCAACUGAUUAUAUUUGUGUUCAAAUAAUAUAAGCAAUUACAGACCUAAAUCAUUCAAACAAUUUAUUACUUAAGCAAAUUAAAAGCAAUGGGCCCUUAUUGAUUCUAAAAGCAAAGUAACAAUUAUAGAAAAGAUCAAGUUGCAUAAAUAUUGAAAGCAAAUAAGAGUUUAACAAUGGAGUUUUAAAUCUCCCAAUUCAUCACAAAUCUGAAUUUCCUCAACUUCAACUAGAAAAGAAUGAAUUUAGCCAUUCAUGGUGGACAAAGUACACAAAAGAAAGAAGAAAGGAAGGAGAAGGAGAGUCGGCUGUAAUUCUGCAGAAUUUCCGAGGAGGAGAGGAUGAUGCUUUGCUGGUUUGGAGGCUGCCUUCUUAUAGCUGGAGAGUCCAAGUUCAAUUAGGGUUUGAAAUCCCUAUUUUGACUUGGUCUUUGUGGUCUUUAAUUCCUCUUUGUUUUUGAAUUUUGUUGUAGACGGAAUUCUCUUGGUAGAAGGACAUCCUCGUGACUUUUGGAAUUGAGAUGGUGGUGUUUGAGGUGGAUUUGGGCUUCUUUUCUUUUGAAUUCUGAAUUUCUGCACUUUUCCCGCCUCUGCUGUCUUUUCUAUGUGAAAGUGAUUUGGGCGGGUGAUUUGGGCAAAUCGCUUUGACCCAAUCACUUCUGAAAAUUCACUUCCAGGUUUUUCUGCCUCAGCUCGAUUGCUCUGCUUCCUUUGUCUGAUUUGACCAAAUUGCUCUGACCCAAUCACUUUCCUGUGAGAUGGUUCCAGGUUUCUGCUUCAGCUAGAUUUGGGCAGUGAUUUGGCCAAAUCACUUUGACCCAAUCACUUUUCCAGCUUUUUUCUGCACUUUUUCUACAAUUUUCCAUUUUCUUCCUUUUCUUUAAAAACAUAACAAAAACAUAAAUUAAGAUAGAAAAAUGUGUAAAUAAGCAAUAAUAAAGAUAAUGAAAAUGUGGCUAAUUUAUGUUUGAUCACCUAUAUAGAGCUUUUCAUCAACCAAUUUACCCUUUUCAUUCUUGUCAAGCUUGGUGUUUGUACUCAUUGGAGUUCUAUUAGGCUUGCUAUUCUCCAUUCUGAAUCUUUUAGUUAGCUCCUUUGUGUACUUAGCUUGGUUGAUGAAGAUGUCAUCCUUAGCUUAUUUGAUUUGAAGCCCAAAGUAGAAUUUGAGAUCUUCCAUCAUGCUCAUCUCAAACUUACUUUUCAUUACUUUUAAAAAUUCUUCACACAAAUACACAUUAAUAGCACCAAAUAAAAUAUCAUUAAUAUAUAUUUGCAUUACAAGGAUGUCAUUUCCAUGAUUUUUGACAAAAAGAGUUGCAUCUACCUUACCUUUUGAAAAAUCAUUUUGCAAAAUAAAAUUACUUAAUCUUUUAUUCCAAGCUCUUGGAGCUUAUUUUAAACCAUAUAAAGUUUUUUACAAUUUAAAAUAUGCUUUGGAAAAUAAUAAUUUUCAAAAUCGGGAGGUUGCUCAACGUAAACCUCCUCCACAAUAAAACCAUUUAAAAAUGCAUUUUUCACAUCCAUUUAAAAAAACUUAAAAUUCAUGUAAGAUGCAUAUGCAAGCAUGAUUCUAAUGACUUAUAAUCUAACUACGGAGGCAAAAGUCUCAUUAUAUUCUAUGCCCUUCUCUUAGUUAUAACCUUUAGCUACCAACCUAAAUUUGUUCCUAGUAAUAUUUUCAUCUUCAUUAAGCUUGUUUCUAAACACCCAUUUGAUGCCUAUGGUAGAGUGAUAUUUAGGUCUAGGAACUAAGGUCCAAACCUUAUUCUUUUCAAAUUGGUUGAGUUCUUCUUGCAUAGUAAGAACCCAACUCUCAUCACUAAUGGCCUCAUCUAUGGACUUAGGUUCUAUAUGAGAUAUGAAUGCAAUGUUAUUAUAUACAUAUCUAAUAGAGGAUCUAACUGUUACCCCCUUAUAAUGCAUCACUAAUUAUUUGAUCCUUGGAAUGAUCAUUUUUGUAGGUCCAAUCCUUUGGCCAGUCAUGUUAGACUCCUUGGCUUUGUAUAAGUUGCAUUUAUUACUUUCAGAGUCUAAUCUCAUCUUCCUUUGCCUCCAUAGGAUCCGCUUUGGGUUGAAUUUGAUCUAUAUGGAUUGAGGAUCUUCAAUAGUCAACUCAUCAAGGUUACUUACAAGAUUAUCAUCACAAACUAUCUCCUUUCUAAGAGCAAAGGGAUUAGAUUCAUAAAAAAUGCAUUAACUCUUCAACUAUCAGUGUUCUCUUAUUGAAUACUCUACGUAAUUUACUAGAUGUAAAGUAUCCUAAGAAGAUACAUUCAUCAGUUUUAGAGUCAAAUUUACCUAAAUUAUCCUUAUGUUUAAGAUAAAGCAUUUACAACCAAAAACUCUAAAAUAACCAACUCUAGAUUUUCUUCCAUUCCAAAGCGCAUAAGGGAUUUUAUUUAGAAGAGGUCUAAUUAAAACUUGAUUUGAAACAUAACAAGCCGUAUUAAUAGCUUCUACUAAAAAAUAGGUAGGUAGAUUAUAUUUUCUUAAUAUAGUCCUCCCCAUAUCUAAAAGAUUUCUAUUUUUUCUUUCAAUAACACCAUUUUAUUGGGGAGUCCUAGGAGAUAAAAAAUUAUGAGUGAUUCCUAACUUGUUAUAAAAAAAUUCAAACUUCUCAUUUUCAAAUUAUCUACCACGAUCACUCUUUAUUAAAGCAGUUGAAAACCUUUUUUGCUUUUAACUUUCUUGGUAAGACUUUUAAAAGCAUCAAUACAGUCAUCCUUAUGAGUAAGGAACACAAUCCAAGUAUAUCUAUAGUAGUCAUCUACUAUGACAAAAUCAUAAUGCAUGCCACCAAGACUAACUUCUGUAGUUAGACCCAAAAAAAUCUAUAUGCAAAAGUUGUAGAGGUCUAGAAGUGGUUACCUUAUUAAUAGAUUUAAAAAAACUUUUAACUUGCUUAUUCAUUUGACAAGCAUCACACACUUUGUCCUUUUAAAAUUUGAUCUUUGGAAGGCCAUCAACUAACUCAUCCUUACUCAAAUUUUUUAGAAGAUCCACGCUAGCAUGAGAGAGUCUCUAUGCCAAAUCCAAGAGUUAUCACUAUUCCUACAAUUCCACCUUUUUAAUUAUCUCCAAAGGUCACUUGUCCAUUACCAUCCUUCUCUUCAAAAGAGAUUAAGUGACUAGAAUUUAUGGUCCUGUUCCUUGAACAUCUAUUAUCCAAAUACCAUUUGCUUUCAAGUUUUGAGAAUUUCAAGCACACCUACAAGAAGAGAUUCAAAUAACUUUAGGUAUCCAAAUUUACUUGGGUCCUUGGGGCUUAGUCAUUUCAUUUUUCUAUUUCCAUAUACUUCCAUAUCCAAGAUUUACUUUUCUAAUAGCACAUCUAUAGUUGGUGUGAUCAAAUUUGCCAUAAUAGUGACAAUGACCAUUUAACCUUCUUGUUCUAGGUCCAUAGGUAAAUUAGUGUGCUUGUGUUCUUAUAUAGUCAUUUCUCUUUUGUCCAUUAUAAGCAUGUGAGCAAGAAGUAUGAUGAGUGUGAUGAUUAUGUGAACUAGAAAUAUGUGGUCUAUAAUUAGCAUUUCUUUUAUAUGAAAAUUGCCUAGGUAUAUAUUGUUGUAUGAACAUUGUGUCUAGUGGAUUGAUGUACAUGUGCAUUCUUUAUAGGUGCAUUUCCACUGGGAGCUUUAAGUUCAUGCCCAUUAGAGGUAGACACCUUAGGUUCAUUCAAAUUAGUAGUUUUAAUAAAAAUAGUUUUGGAAGGACUUACUUGAGUUGAUUUAUUAUAGCCAAAGCCUACUUGAUGCUAGGAGAUAUUUAAGAGUCUAAUAUUUCAUCAAGUUUAUCCUUAUCUUUUAAAAAUUUUGAAAGAGAAUUUUUCAAUCUAAGGAUUUCAUUUUUAAAAUUUUUGUUUUCUAGUGAGAGCUCAUCUAAGGAUUUUUGUAAAUCAUCAUUUGAGGGUGAAGAAUCCUUAGGUGAGUUCUCACUUUCUAUUCUUAAGCUAACUAAUUUAUGUUUCAAAACUUUAUUUUUCUUACAACUCUUUUCUAGUUCAUCAUUCAUCAAUUUUAAAGCACUAACAAGUUCAUCAUAUGAAAAUUCAACAACAUCAUCACACAUGGUAAUAUCAUCAAGUGUAGUUACCUCAUUGGAGCUUUUCUCUAAGGCCAUGAAGCAAAUGCUGAUAACUCCUUCACCAACGUCCUCCUCUUCGAUGUCACUUGACUCAUCUCAUGUUGCUUAGAAUGCCUUCUUCUUGAACUUUUUAAUAGGCUUCUUCAACUUGAAUAAUCUACUUUUAGUGACUCAGUUUAUUGCACUCAUAAUAAAUAAUCAAUUUCUUCUUGCUUGAUUCACCUUUGUCCUUUCUAAACCUUUUAUUUGGGAUGAAAUUUUCAUUUUGAAAGAGCAACUUUCUUAUCCUCCUAGUCACCAAGGAUAAUUCUUCUUCAUUUAGCUCUUCUUCUUCCUCACUAGAGUCUUCAGAAGAUACCCUUAAAGCAAUGUUCUUUUUCACUUUGCUAGGUUCCUCCACUUGCUCUCUCUUUAGUGUCAUCUCAUAAUCAAUGAGAUUUCCUAAAAGCUCAUCUAAUUUUACCUUAUUUAAGUCUUUAGCAUCCUUUAAAGAGGUCACCUUAGGUAGCCAAUCCUUAGGUAGACAUCUAAGAAUUUUCUUCACCAAUUCCUCAUUUGUGAAUGUCUUCCUAAGGGAUUUUAUCACUCCAAUAAUCUCAAUGAACCUAUCAUAUAUUUGGAUAAUGGUUUCAUCGGAUUUCAUUUUGAACAAUUCAUAUUGGUAGAUAAGGGAUUCUAUCUUAUUUUUUUACUUGAUUGGUAACUUUAUGAGUGACAAAUAAAGUAUCCCAAAUCUCCUUGGUGGUAGACUUCAUGCAUACUUUGUUGUACUCACUUCUACUAAGAGCACAAAAUAAAAUGUGAAUGGAUUUAUCAUUAAGGGCUACUUUUCUCUUCUUUAGUUCACUCCAUUCGCUCUUAGGCUUUUGCUCUUGUUUUUACUCUACCAUUUUAUUAGAAAGAAAGGGUCAUUCUCCAUAAUAUCCCACAAAUCAACUCCUACUUAUUUUAGAAAAUAGUACAUUCUAUUUUUUUCAAUAUAAAAAGUCAUUUCCAUCAAAGAAGGAUGGUCUCACAAUAGAUUGACUUUCUUGAGUAUUGAGGGUUGCCAUUAAUUUUUACUCCAAGAUUAUUAAAUCUUUUAAAAAGGGAGACCAGCUCUAAUACCACUUGUUGUCCCUUGAAGCAACUUAAGAGAGAGGUGUAUUGAGUUUAUAAAAAUUUAAGGGCUAAAAACACAAGUUAAAAAGGAAUAAGAAAGGAAGAGUGAUAAUGAACACAAGGAUUUAUAGAAGUUCAACUAUCUCAAGCCUAUGUACUCUCUUCAAGGCCCUCCUUGAGAGUUCAAGUCCACUAUUAAAUCUUCUUUGGGUGAAAAUUAAAAUCUCUUACAAUUCUAGAGCAAAACCCUUAAUCUUUACAAUCCUCUUUUUAUCACAAGAGCAAUCAUUUGCUCAAAACUACACCCAAUAUAAUAAAUUUACACAACAACCCUCACUUAAUCUCAAAACACAAAACAAUUACAACUCAAAACUAUCUUUUAAGAAAUUAAUGCUAUGACUCAAGGUUUAGAGAGAGAAAAAGUGACAAGUGCUUUAAUCUCAAUAAAUAUAUGCUCAAAUGGUUAUUGUAAAUUUUUCCAUAUGAAAGACACAUUAUAUUUAUAGUUCUAAUAUAAAUAUGGCCAUUGGGGGUACAUUAAAUACAAAUAGAACUGUUUAUAUACUGAAAUAACUGUUAUUUUGUACUUAGAAAAACUCAAGUUUGGUGGCCUAAAGUUAAAUUUUGGGGGUCGAACCAUUGGAGGUGAAAAUAAAAACCUUUGAAAAUAGAAUUUUGGAGACCUAAAGUCCUCACCUUUGGUGGCCAAAUAUUACAACUUUUGCCUCUGUUUCUCUUUCUCUCUGUCGCCUAAAGUUCACUUUAGGGGGCACAAAGUCUUUCAUUAAAUAUUUAAAAAAUCACAACUUAGACUACAGAACUCUGAUUUUCAAUCUGUUUGAACUCUUGUAACCUAUAUUUUAAAAUAUUUUACUUUUUAAAAAAAGAAAAAUAAAAGCACUCUAUUUGUAAAAUUUUAUUUUGAUCCUUCAAAGAGUUAUGGAGUAAAAACUUAAAUUAUAAAAUUUCAAUUUUUAUUCUACUUGAAUUGUUGUAACCUAUAAUUUGAAGUCUCUUAUUUGAUAGAAAAGUAUCUUAAAAAAGGCUCCAUAUAUAAAUUUUAUUUUGAUCUUACAAAAAUAAUUUCUUAAAAAUUGGUCAUAUUUUUAAGUUUUAGAGUUUAAAACAUGAAUUCGAGCUAACACAAUUAAUUCAUUGAAAUUCACAAUGUGUAAAAAAAAAUUACACUUUGGUCUCUUUCUUGUAGUAUGCUUCCAAUCUUGACACUUUUCAUUUUUGAAAUUGAAGCAAGUCUAUUUAUUUAAAUUAGAGGCCUAUAAGCUCACACAAACACUUCUAAAGAUAAUUAGUAGCUCACCAAUUAUUUAUUAGUAUCAUAAUAAGGAUUAGAAUACUUAGGUCCAAUAAUAUCGAUGCAUACGAUGCUGUAAAGAAAGGUAUUAGAUAAGAAAGUUUGACAUAAAACUAGAUGUUGUUCCCUCCAUUGUGUCACUUAUUUCCCUCCAUUGUGACAACAAUGGUAACAUAACUCAAGCAAAGGAACCUAAGUGUUAACAAAAAAUACAAACACAUAGAGAGGUGGCUUCAUAUUAGUAGAUAGAUAAUUGGGAAAGGUGACGUGGAUGUGUAAAAAGUAGUUUCAGAAUGAGAAUGUAGCUGAUCCACUUACAAAAGCUAUGAGCCAGUGAUAGUUAAGCAUCUCAUGAAGUUGAGUUGACUGUGCGGUUGUCGAAGCCUGUCAAAAAUAACCUUUCUAGUUAUCUACAAUUUUACAACUGUAGAUAGUGGUAAAAGAAUCGAAUCCACAGGGAAUUGAUACUUACUUAUCUUCCUAUCAAUGACCAAGUAAAUAAAUAGACGAUAAAAGUAAAAAGGGGAUUUUUGAAGUUUGAUGAUUUAAACUAGAAUUAAAAGUAAUAAACUAAAGCAAAUAAUUAAAGUAAAGAGAAUUCAAUAAUAAGAAAACUCUAGUUGAAGAAUUGGAUCCACUUCAGUUGUUUGGGAUUGAUCAUCGACACUUAGGUUUUUUUAUUUGGCUCAAUAAAUUAGUUAUGGAGGUGGAAGACGCUUCUCACCUCCAUAUGCCUCCUUAGGCAUAGAUUAAUUAGGGAACAUCCUCUAAUUAAUAACUAAUCAACAAGUUGCCAAGGAACGUUCUUGGGACUUUUAGCAUCUAACAAUUGUCAAUUGCAUUAAGAGAUAGAGAGACUUAAUUCUAGCUACCCAAACGUAUGGUGAUCUUGCUAGAUUAUGCAAUCUACUUGGUUUUUAUACCAAGAGUUACUUGUGUUUGAACAAUUCAAGCAAUUAUGGACUUAAAACUAUCCAAACAAACAAAUUAUUACUUUGCAAUCAAGAAUCAAUGGGCCCUAUUGAUCUAAAUAACAAAGCAACAAUGGAAUUAAACAUGAAAUUGCAUAAAUAUUGAUAAAUAAAAUGACAUAAUAGGUUCAGAUCUGCCAAUCCAUAAACAACUUAAAGUUUCACCUAAUCUUCAACUAGAAAAAAAGGGUUUCAGCCACUCAUGGCUGAAACUAACACAAAAGAAAAGAAAGAAAGCAAGAAAAAGGAUGAAGAAGGGCUGGCUGGUGCGCACAGCUACUGUGCGAGUUCUGUCGAAGAUUAUCUGUUGAUGACAACCUCCUUUGUUGCUGGUUUGAUCCCCUUUUUAUAGCUGAAUAUGUGAGGCCCUUAGUUUCUUGAUUUGAAUUGAGUUCUUUUCCUAAUUGGAGUUGAAUUCUUGGAAGGGAAGUGUAUUCUCUUGAGAUUUGGCUUCCUAGAUAUAUGGGAUUGAGUGCUGAGGUGGUUUGAAGGGUUGCUGAGCUGUCCUCACAUGUUUGGGGAGGAAAAGAUCUCUUGAAGAUUUGAAAUUUGAAUUCUCGCUUCUCUACUAGCCUGCUGUCGCAGGCCUUGUUUGCCCGGGUUGUGUGGGCAAACAGCUCGGGCAAAUAGCCUGUCUUGCUUGCUGUCUGCACUUUGUUUCUGUCUUGCGGGGCUGUUUGCCCAGUUAGCUUGGGCAAACAAGCUAGUCAAACAGCAAGUCUGUGCUUUCUCAUCUAUCUCCCAUUUUAGCUUCAACUCGGUUUGGGCAAACAACUUGGGCAAACCAGGCUUGUCCUCUUUUGCUCUCUUUUGGGCUGUUUUAAGGCCAUUUUUACCAAAUUACUCUUUUACACAAUUUUCUGUAAAAUAAUAUCAAAACCACAAAAUUAGGUAGAAAAUGUAUAAAUUAACAUAAAUAACAACAUGAAAAAUGGGUCUAAAUUUGGCUUGAUCAAAUACCCCACACCUAACCCUUUACUUGUCCUCAAGCAAAUAAACUUAGUCAAACAAGCUCUCUUUACUACUUGAUCCUUUAUUUCCACUUAAACUCUUACCCUAGACCCCCUACUUUGAAGCAUUGCAGUGAAGAGUGUAUGCACCAAGGUUACUUUCCUUCUUUCCUUGUUUCCCUUUACCUGCCAUGGUUAGUAAUUGUUUUCCUCAUUAGAGAGAUUAUACAUGCACAUAUUCUUGUUUAGUUUAGACUCUUUCUAGCUUUCGGAGUGAUUUGCCCUUACUUGAAGCACCUUAUUCAGCUUUUUGCACUUUUAUUUUUACCUAAAGAAGUCACCAACCUUUUGACGCGAGAGUACAUAUUUGUGAUACCCACCCCCGGUUACUCAGUUGGUCACCUGUCCAAGUGGCUACUAGCUCUGUUCAUAGUCUUUAACCAUUGGAAUAGUUUUUAUUUUGUGCUUUUAAGGUCUUUGCCUUUGCUGAAUUUUUCUUUUUUUUUUCUUUUUCUCAAUGAAUUGGGCAAAUCAACACCAAUUGCUAAAAUACAUCAUAUUUUGUUAUUCACACAUCUUUCAUUUUAUUAUUCUCUCUAAUGAGUAAUGUCAUAUAUUUUUCACCAUGGCAAGCUCAAAGAUUCAAUUCAAAAGGAAAUUCCCAAAAAUGAAUACAACUCACUAUAAUUGAUUCAACUUAGAUUUAAAGAGUCAUCACAUCAAUGGGGUCAUGGAAAGAAAACUUAUUCAACAUAACCUAUGUGUUUGAGUAAAGCAUAUGAAAACAGAAAAUAGAAAAAAAAACUGUGGCUACAUGUGUGUGAAUUGAAAACAAAAAUAACAAAAAUGAAAAAAAUUCACCUAAUGUGUGCUAAUUUAAAAAUUAAAGCUUAAAUGGAUAUAAAAGAAAUAAAAAAGAGUGCAUGAAGCAUCAAAAUUCAGAGAUAUGCACCCCCACACCUAAAUCAUGCAUUGCCCUCAAUGUAUUGAAAGUAUUAAAGUUUAAAAGAAAAAGUGAAUACUCCCCUAGUGUGGUUGUUUGCCCAGUCUGUUUGGGCAAACAGCUUGGUUGAACAGCGUCAGGUAGCGCUUCUGGUGGGUCGCUGGCAAUGUCGCGCGUGAGGGCCUGUUGUUUGCCUAGUUGCGUGGGCAAACAAGCUGGUCGAACAAGUGUCCCGCGUUAUUGCAGCGUGCUGCGUGCGUCUCUGUGGUGUGGGCAGACUGUGUGCCAAUCCGCUUUCUGUCUCAUGGGUUGUCUCCGCUGUUUUCCAUUUUGUUUGGGCAAACAGUUUGGCCAAAUAGCUUUGCACCUGCAAAACAACUAAAACUUGAAAGUGGGUUGAGGCGCUAGUUCCUGCACACCUGGUCUUGUUUGCCCCUGUUGUUUGGGCAAACAAUCACAUAUCUCUGUUUUUUUUUAUUUAUUUUACAAGCUUUGUUCCUAUGGAGGAUGAUUUAGUGGAACUUCUUCUACUACUUGUACUGUAAACUUCUCAUAGAACGGUUUCAGACGAUGUCCAUUUACUUAGAAGACUUUUCUGGUUUCCAGACUGCGGAUAUCUACGGCUCCAUGGGGAUAAGUAUGCUCCAUAAUCAAUGGCCCAAUCCACCUAGACUGUAGCUUACCUGGGAAUAAUUUUAAACAAGAAUCAACGAGUAGAACUUUAUCAUCGACCUUGAAUUAUUUUCUCGAAAUAUGGUGGUCAUGGAAGGCUUUGUUCCUGGCUUUGUAGUUCCAAGAAGUCUUGUAAGCAUCUCGUCUUAUCCCUUCUAGUUCUUGUAGUUGCAACUUCCGAUGUGUUCUAGCCUCCUUGAGAUCCAUGUUGCAAUUCUUGACAGAGCAAUAAGCCUUAUGUUCAAGCUCGAUUGGAAGAUGACAGGCCUUACCGUAGAUCAAUCUGUAGGGAGACAUUCCUAUAGGCGUUUUGUAGGCUGUCCUGUAUGCCCACAAGGCAUCUUUCAGCCGUACACUCCAAUCUUUUCUAUUGGGGCUCAUUGUGUUUUCUAAGAUGGCCUUGAUUUCUCUAUUAGAUACUUCAGCUUGCCCAUUCGUUUGAGGGUGGUAGGCUGUGGAUGUUCUGUGUAUGACAUGGUACUUUUUGAGAAGAUUUUCCACUAUCUUGUUACAAAAGUGAGUCCCUCUAUCGUUGAUGAUUGCCUUAAGCACCCCAUGCCUAGCAAAGAUGUUAGUCUUCACAAAAUCCACUACCGCCUUUACAUCAUCGGUUCUUAUUGCUCUGGCCUCUAUCCAUUUGGACAAAUAAUCCACUGCGAGGAUUAUAUAGGUAUAUCCGAAGGAUGGCGGGAAUGGCCCCAUGAAGUCUAUACUCCAUACAUCGAAUAUCUUGCCAACCAUGAUAGGAUUUUGAGGCAUUUGAUUUUUGUUGCUUAGAUUUCCAGUCUGCUGGCAUGGUGCACAUGAUCUGCAAAACAAAUAGGCAUCUCGAAAAAUGUUAGGCCAAAAUAGUCCACUUUCGAGGAUUUUGUGGGCUGUCUUUUGUGGUCCAAAGUGUCCACCGCAACUGUAUGCAUGGCAAAAUUUAAGGACUGAGGCUAUCUCCUGAUCGGGUAUGCACCUCCUUAUCACUUGGUCAGAACAAUGCUUCCAAAGGUAUGGUUCAUCCCAAACGUAGUACCUUGCACUCUUCUUUAUUUUGUCUUUUGUGUGCUUGGGCAUAUCAGAAGGUAAGUUAACUGUGCCUAGGUAAUUCACAAUGUCUGCGUACCAUGGUUCAUCAACUUGGGCAUAGAACGAAUGUUCAUGGAGGUGAUUGUCAUUUUCUGCAUAUUCCAAAAGUUGCUGUGUUGAGAUCUGCUGUUCGGGCAAACAAUAUUCUGCCUCAUUUUGCUGUUCAGGUAGACAGCUUGCUGCUUGUGUCGUCUGCAUGGCUUGUUUGGUCAAACAAGUGUCUGUUUGCUUUUCAUCUGCUGGGUGCUUGGUCGAACAGCAACUCACCUGUGCUAACGAUCUAGUCUUGCUGGAUUCUGCCCUCUCUUGCUGUUUGGGCAAACAGCAAUCUUCUUCACACCUCCUUGCUGGUUGUUCAUGUAAACAGUAUUCUGACUUUCCAGGUGACUCUGCUGCAUGCUCAACUAAUCUGGGCAUGCUGUUUUCUGCUUGCUGAGGUGGUAUGGAGGAUUCUGCCCUCUCUUGCUAUUUGGGCAAACAACAAUCUUCUUCACACCUCCUUGCUGGUUGUUCAUGUAAACAGUAUUCUGACUUUCCAGGUGACUCUGCUGCAUGCUCAACUAAUCUGGGCAUGCUGUUUUCUGCUUGCUGAGGUGGUAUGGAUGGACUGCAAUCUGUCUAAUUUGGCUGCUAGACCUAUUUGGGCAAACAACAGUUUGCCUGUUUUUUCUCUACUGUCUGUUUGGGCAGACAGCAGUCUAACUGCUAUACAUAGCAAAUUGCUUCAGUCCUUCCUAGCUCUUUUCGACCUCUUUCAUCUUCUUGGCUGGCCUCCCUGCAAAAAUCAUCGUUUAGCAUAUCAUUUUGAUUCAUGUCAAAAAUUUCUUGGCUCAAACAAUCAAUGAUAUCUGAUAGCGGUUGUCGAAGCCGUAAAAAAUAAACCUAUUAUCAAUCAAUAAAAUAAUUUGUAGAUAGUGGCAAUAAAGUCGAACCACAGGGAUUUGACACUAAAGAUCUUCCUAAUUAUGACUUGGACAAGUAAAUAAAAAAAAAUAAAUAAAAAGAGGGAGGUUUGUUUUGAUGAUAAUGAAUUAAAACUAAAUAGUAAGAGAAAACGAUAGUUAAAAAGAUGAGUAAAUCAAUGGGAGAAAAGCUCUAGUUGAAGUAUGGAUCUAUUUCAGUUGUUUAGAAUUGAUCAUUGAUUCUUUGACACUCCUAUUUAUUUCAAUAAAUUAGUUUAGGUUGUGGAAGACGCUUCUCACAACCAAAUUCCUCCUUAAUUUUAGUUUGACUAGGAAACGUUCGCUAAUCAAACAUUAGUCAACAAGUCGCCAAGGAACGUCCUUGGGGUUUUUUACUUUUCAACUAUUGACUGCAUUAAGACUUAGAGAAACCUAAUUCUAACCUUACCAACCGCGUGGUCAAGUUUAGAUUAUUCAACCAAGUGUGCUUGUGUUCAAACAAUCUAAGCAAUUACGGACCUAAAUUAUUUAAACUAACAAUUUAUCACUUAUGCAAUUAAAAGCAAUAGGCCUUAAUUGAUUCUAAUAGCAAAGCAAUAAUAGCGUGAAGAACAAGUUGCAUAAAUAUUGAAAAAUACAAGUUUAACAAUGGACACAAAACUGAAAUUUCCUAACUUCAACUAGAAUAGAAGGUGUUUAGCCACUCAUGGUGGACAAAAAUACACAAAAAGAAAGAAGAAAAGUAGAAGAAGAGAGCUGCUGUGUUGCUUGCUGAAUUUCUGCAGUAAAUUCUAUGUCCCCCCUGCUGGUUUGUGACUGUCUCCUUUUAUAGGUGAAGAGUCUUAGUCCAAUUAGGAUUUAGAAUCCUAAUUUGACUUGGUCUUUUGUAGUCUUUUAUUCCUUUUUGCUUUUGUAUUUAAUCAUGAAUAAAUCUUCUUCUUGGAGAAAGUCUUUCUUGAGAGUGACUCUUGGAGAUGUCAUAGGAUUGGUCUUGUGGUGUUUGAAGUAGGAUAGGACUCCAACAUAUUUGAAAUUUUGAUUUUUCCUUCUUCCCACGCUACUGUCCUUGUCUGCGUCAUUUUGAUUUGGGCAGUUGGUUUGGGCAAAUCGCUUGCCCAAAUCGUUUCUGUGAGUCACUUCCAGGUUUCUGCUUCAGCCUUCUGCUUUAGUUUUCUGCGGGCGAUUUGGCCAAAUCACUUCGACCAAAUCAAUUUUUCAGCUUUUUCUGCAAUUUUUCUCCAAGUUUUCGGUUUUCUCAUUUUCUGUAAAAACAUGAAUUAAACUAGAAAAUUGUGUAAUUAAAUAGUAAUAAAGAUAAUAAAAAUGUGGCUAAAUUAUGUUUGAUCAAAUAUCCCCAUACCUAGCCUUUUGCUUGUUCUCAAGCAACAAGUAACUUAGUCAAUCAAGCCCCUUUUUCUUUUGAGCCUAAGUACCACUUAAUUAGCCCCCCUAGACUCCUAAAUUGAAGCACUAUAGUGUAGAGUACAUGCACUAGGGUUGUCCUCUCUUUCCUUGUUUCCCUUUACCCACCAUGGCCAAAAGUUUUUGAUUUGAUCAUGCUUUAUUCUUUCGUUUUAGGCUUAAUGCAGCCCCUAAGAGUGACUUGCCACCUUUAAAGAAUUUUUAUUCAGCAGCACUUAUUCUUGCUUGAAAAAAUCACCAACCUUUUUACGCGAAAGUGCAUAUUGGUGAUACCCACCCCGGUUACUCAGUUGGUCACUUGUUCAAGUGGCUACUAGCUCUGUUCAUAGUCUUUGACCAUCCAAACAGGUUAUGUUUUGUGCUUUUUGAUUUUGCUGAGUUAUUUCUUCUCUUUUUUCUUUUCUUUUUCUUUUUUCAUAACAGUUUGGGCAAAUAAGCUCAUAGAGAGUUACACUAACUUUUUAUUGUAUGUAUAUAUAUUUUUCCCUUGACUAUAGCAAGUGCAAAGAUUCAAUUUAAGAGAAAAACUCCCUAAGUGAAGGUAACACACUAUAAAUGAUUCAAUUUAUGUAACGACCCGGAAACCGGACCGCUACCAGCGCUAGGAUUCAGAUCGACUUAAAGUCGCCGGGACCCGUAGCAAGCCUACUAUACAACCUGUACACCUGAUAAAAUUCUAUACAUGAUCAAACAUUUUCAUAAAAACUUUAAACUUUCCAUAUACCAAGCUUGACCUGUGCAUGCACCAUAACUAUAAACAUAAAACCCCACACUAGAGCCCUCAUCAAAUGCCCUAGCGGGGUAGCAUAUUAUAUGUCAAGCCUGGUUUAACAUAAUUCAUCAUCAAAACAUUAACACAAGAUCAUGUACAAAAAGGGGAUUACCACUACUAUUAGGGCCAAGCACAAAACUAAACCAUGAAACAUUCUUUACAUUACAUUACAUCAUACCAUUUUACAUUUCAUGUCCGCUACUAAUCUAUUACAAUAACACAACUUUCAACCUUGACGACUUCUCAAUCUAUCCUGAACCUGCGAACCUGGGGGUUAGCGGAAAGGGGAUGAGCUACAAAAGCCCAAUGAGCAGAAUAAUAAAACAAUUUAAAUAUCACAUGCUUUUAUGAAAUGCAUCACAACACAAGUAAAUCACCUUAAGAUGGUAUUGUCACCAAUAGUCCUCUACAUAUCCAAUAAAUGCCCAGCCUUCGACGGAGCUCCUCAAGACUUCCCCUUAAACAUAACAUAACAUGUCCAACUGUGCCAGGGGUGUAGAAUGGGCAACCCUUGUCUUUCCCUUACUCUAUGCCAGGGGCGUAGAAUGGGCAGCCCUGGUCUUUCCGUAUCAUAUCAUCACAUAUCGAGAGCUAAUGGAUCAUCCAAUAUCCAUCCACAUUAACAACAAAUUAUGCAAUGCAUCAUAUUCAUGAAUUCUAAUGCAACAACCUAUAAACAUGGCAAUCGUGAUGCAUGAACAUGCUUAGGAGUUUAAUUACUUUAAAAAUAGAAAGUAGUUCUGUUCUACUCACCUCUAGCAGAUACUGGACUGACUCUGAAGUAGCUAUCUCACUGCUGAACUCCUCGGUUCCUCGGGUCCGAUCUUACACAGGUGGACUCAAAUGAGGGACCAAACAAACUCUAACAUGACUCUUAGCAACUCCCCAAAAACCCCCUAAAACAUCAUAAAAUAUUCAUAGAAAACAUGCAAAGGAAGGCUGGACAGGGCACUUUCGGCGGCAGGUUCGGCGGCCGAAAGUCCCUCCAGAGCCGAAAGUCAGGCACUUUCGGGAGCAGGGUUCGGCAGCCGAAAGUCCUUCCAGAGCCGAAAGUCACCCACUUUCGGGGGCAGGUUCGGCGGCCGAAACUCCCCUCUAGAGCCAAAAGUCCAAACUUUCGGGGGCGAGUUUAGGCUGCCUAAACUGCCUUCCCUGGCAGGUUCGGCGGUCGAACCUGGAUCCUUUUAAGUGGCAGAACCCGAUUCUGCCAUCCCACAUUCAGCCAUCCCAACUUUCCAACAUGCAUUCAACUAUUCUAAAAUAUGCAUAAACACUUAUUCAAGCAUAUAGGGGCAUAAAACUAGCCUAUACCCCAACAAACAUCACAUUAAGCAUACUUUUAUCAAUAACCACACAUAAACUCUAACAUUUUUACAACUAGCCUAAACAUGCAUCAAAACCCUUAACCCCUUCAUAAAACUUACUUCAAACAUCAUAAGAGGCGUGGAUCGACACUUACCUCUUGAAGAUCGAGAGGAGAGGUGAUCCAAACUUGGAGAUUGGGAGAAAACGAGCUCCGGGGGUCUCCAAGCUUCAAAACUCUGAUCUUAGCUCAAAACCUUCAAAACAAAGUAAAAACUCAUCAAAACUUAAAGGGAUUUGAAGAAAAACAACAAAUUGACCAUGGAAGGGCGAAAUCUCACCUAUGCCCAAAAAUAGAGAGAGAAAACUCGCCCAUUUUCGGACAAGGGGCCUUUUGUAGGUGGCUGGCCAGACCACCUUCGGGGGCCAAAGGUGCUUCUGCAAACUCCUCAUGUUCGGCGGCCGAACCUGGGUUUUCUUCCUUGGUCUUUUUCUUUCAAAACUCAAUUUCUUUCUUUAUUAAAACCAUAAAAACACAUGAAAACACUUUAGAAAACCAUAUUCUACCGUUCUAGAGGGUUACGACAUCUGAGAUUCCGCUGGAAAGUGGGAAUUCCGAUGCCAGGGUCUAGCUGGGUAUUACAUUCUCCCCCCCUUAAGAACAUUCGUCCCCGAAUGUUCAACAAACAAGCAUAGCAUAAACAGAACCACAUAAACAUAUAAAAACACUAACCUUAAAAGAGAUAGGGGUAUUAUUAGAGUAUAGACUCCCGUGUCUCCCAGGUACAUUCUUCUAUGUUGUGGUGAUUCCAAAGGACUUUCACCAUUGGGAUUUCCUUGUUCCUCAGCUUUUUGAUCUGCGUGUCCAGGAUCCGCACCGGCUGCUCAAUAUAGGUGAGAUGUCCUAGGAUCUCCACAUUAGGCUCAUUAAGAACCUUGCCCGGAUUUGACAUGAACUUCCGUAACAUGGAAACAUGGAAAACCGAAUGGAUUCUCUCCAUUGAAACAGGCAAAUCCAGCUUGUACGAUACAUUCCCAAUCUUCUGCAAGAUUUCAAAGGGUCCGAUGUACCGUGGAGCUAGCUUACCUUUCUUCCCAAAACGAAUCACCCCUUUCAUAGGAGACACCUUGAGCAACACCAUAUCUCCCUCCUGAAACUCUACAAGCUUCCUGCGGACAUCUGCAUAGCUUUUCUGCCGACUCACAGCAGUCUUGAUCCUUUCUCUGAUGAUGGACACUACUCUGCUGGUGAUCUCUACUAGUUCAGGCCCUGCCAAGGCCCUUUCUCCAACUUCUUCCCAGCAGACAGGUGACCUGCACUUCCUUCCAUACAAAGCUUCAUAUGGAGCCAUCCCUAUGCUAGCAUGAUAGCUGUUAUUGUAGGCAAACUCCACCAAAGGUAGGUGCUGCCUCCAAGAACCGCCAAAAUCUAGCACCCACAUUCUGAGCAUAUCUUCUAUGGCCUGGAUGGUCCUCUCUGACUGUCCGUCAGUUUGUGGAUGGAAAGCAGUGCUAAAAUCUAGCCUGGUACCCAUAGCAUUAUGCAAACUCCACCAAAACCUGGAGGUGAACUGGGGUCCCCUAUCUAACACUAUUGAAACGGGAGACCCAUGCAACCUGACCACUUCUUCAACAUACACCUGCGCCAACUUGUCCACAAAAUAGCCACUUUUGACCGGGAUGAAGUGACUAGAUUUGGUCAAUCUGUCCAUUAUCACCCAUAUGGAGUCCAAUCUGUUGGACGUUGCUGGUAACCCACCACAAAAUCCAUAGCUAUAUUCUCCCAUUUCCACUCUGGAAUCGGCAGUGGGUUAAGCAUUCCAGCCGGCUUCUGAUGUUCCAACUUCACCCUCUGACAUACCUCGCAAGCGGACAUAAAUUGUGCCACUUCUCUUUUCAUAGCUGGCCACCAAUAAACUUUCUUCAGAUCUUAAUACAUUUUGAUGGCUCCAGGGUGAAUACUGUACCUGGCAUUAUGAGCUUCCCUCAUAAUGUCUCCCUUCAGACUCACAUCAUCUGGUACACAUAACCUGUUCCCAUAGCGGAGGAUCCCUUUGCUGUCAAAUCUGAACUCUUCAUUCUUGUCUGACUAAACAGUCCUGGCAAUUUUCACUAACUCUGGGUCCUCAUGCUGUUUCUGAGCCACCUACUCCAGAAACACGGGUGUCACUCUCAUUUGAGCUAUCAAAGCACCUGUACCAGACAACUCCAACUGCAGCCCUUCAUGAACGAGCUUAUAGAAUUUCCUCACCACCGAUCUUCUCUCUGCUGUAAUAUGGGAUAGACUGCCAAGCGAUUUCCGGCUUAGGGCAUCUACCACAACAUUUGCCUUACCCGGAUGGUACUGAAUUUUGUAAUCAUAGUCACUAAGCAGUUCUACCCAUCUUCUCUGCCUCAGGUUCAACUCUCUCUAACUCAAGAUGUACUGCAAGCUCUUAUGAUCUGUGAAGAUCUCACAUUUAACCCAAUAAAGGUAAUGUCUCCACAUCUUGAGUGCAAAGAUCACAACUGCCAUCUCUAGGUCAUGUGUAGAAUAAUUCAACUCAUGCUUCUUCAGCUGCCUAGAAGCAUAAGCAAUUACCCUCUCAUUUUGCAUCAACACACAACCUAGUCCCACACGGGACGCAUCACAAAACACUGUGAAGUCUUCAUUAUUGGUAGGCAGAGCUAACACCGGUGCUGACGUCAACCUUUUCUUCAGCUCUUCAAAGCUUUCCUCACACUGCUCAGACCACACAAACCUCUGGUUCUUCUUGGUCAGUCUGGUCAUAGGAGCGGCAAUUUUGGAGAAGUCCUGAACGAACCUCUUAUAGUAACCUGCCAAACCCAGAAAGCUCUUAAUCUCUAUAACUGUAGUGGGUCUAGGCCAGUUGGCUACAGCUUCCACCUUAUUGGGGUCCACUUCAAUUCCCUAUUCUGAUACAACAUGCCCCAAGAAUGAGAUGCUCCUUAACCAGAACUCACACUUGGAGAACUUGGCAUACAAGCCAUGCUCCCUCAGGGUCUGCAAAACUAUCCUCAGAUGAUGGGCAUGCUCCUCUGUGUUUCUGGAAUACACUAAGAUAUCGUCAAUGAAAACGAUAAAAAAGUGAUCUAGAUACUGACUGAAAACUCUGUUCAUGAGAUCCAUGAAUGCUGCAGGGGCAUUAGUCAGCCCAAACGGCAUCACUAGGAACUCAUAAUGCCCAUAUCUGGUCCUGAACGCCGUCUUCGGUACAUCUUCUUCUCUGAUUCUCAGCUGGUGGUACCCGAAUCUCAUAUCUAUCUUGAAGAAACAACCUGCUCCAGCUAGUUGGUCAAAUACAUCAUCGAUCCUAGGUAACGGAUACUUAUUCUUAAUAGUGACUUUGUUCAAUUGCCUGUAGUCGAUACAAAGUCUAAAGGAUCCAUCCUUCUUCUUUACAAACAGCACUGGAGCACCCUAAGGUGAGGUACUCGGUUGGAUGAAACCCUUGUCUACCAACUCUUGCAACUGUUCCUUUAGCUCCUUCAACUUUGCUGGUGCCAUCCUGUAGGGAUGGAUAGAGAUUGGUCUAGUUCUAGGCAUCAAUUCUAUUUCGAACUCUAUCUCCCUAGCAGGUGGUAGUCCUGAAAGCUCGUUUGGGAAGACAUCUAGAAACUCUCUAACCACGGGCACUGAGGCGGGCUCUCUAACCUUACUAUCCAGCUCUCUCACAAGAGCUAGAAACCCCUGACAACCCCUCCUGAGCAACCUACGAGCCUGUAGGGCUGCUAUCAGACCUCUAGGCAUACCCCUCCUGUCUCCUCUGAAGACAACCUCUGACCCAUCCUAUCUUUUGAACCUGACUACCUUGUCUCUACAGUCCAAGGUAGCACCAUGAGUAGAUAGCCAAUCCAUCCCUAGAAUGAAGUCAAAAUCAGUCAAAUCUAAAACCACUAGGUCGGUUGGAAGGCAUCUGCUCUCAACAAACACUGGACUAAACCGGCAGACUGACUCUGCCACUGAUGGAUCACACUUGGGUCCACUGACCCAGAGGGGACACUCUAACCUAGAGACUAUCAAACCCAACCUCUCUACGGCUAUCGGAGCAACAAAAGAAUGAGAAGCACCAGUGUAACAGCCCGGAAACCGGUACCCUCUUUGUAACGGUCCGACCCGUUCGGCACUAGGAUCCAGAUCGGCUUAAGGCCGCCUAGACCCGUAGUAAGCCUAUCCUGAACUCUGUGUAGCUGUUAAAAUCCCAUACACGAUCCGACUGGACUAUUAACUGUUAAAACUUUACUUUUAAACCACCAGACUUAACCUUUCAACACACUCUCUAUAGGUCCAAUCAUAUGAACCAAAAUGCUCAGAUAUACUAUCUGAACUAGCCCUUUGGCUAUCUAUAAUACACCAGUGAUGCUCUACCAAGUAACCUCCAUACCCUAUGCGCUCUGCAGCAUAGAACCCACUCUGUAGGGUCAGCAUAUCAUAAGUUAACUUGGCUACCAUAGAGUCACAGGAAUCAAACCUGGUUUUCUCUAGUGGACUCCUCUGUGGAUCACAGGAAUCAAACCUGGUCUUUCCUAUUGCACUGGUCUUGGGUCAAAGGAAUUAAACCCUGUCUUCCCUCACAGUUAUAAUUCACUGGGUUUUCAAAGCACAACAUAUAUUAAGUCUGGUCUGACUCAUUUCUCAUCAAGAAACUGUAAAACAGGAUACAUGCAUACACUAGGGAUUAACAUACACUAGACAAUAGGCAAAAGCACAUUCUAAUACAUUUAUACAUUAACUGACUAACUAUUACAUCACUUUUACAUAUAUCCCUUUAAGUACAUCAUGUCCACACUAUACAAGUACAUAUGCAAUCCUUUAGCAACUCUGAUGCUUCUACCCUUCCCAGCUACUCUGAACCUGCAAAACUGGGAUUAAGGGAAAGGGAUGAGCUUCUAAAGCCCAGUGAGUAGAAACACUGAAAAUAGUUCAUUCAUACGCACUAUAAAUGACAAUGCAUUACAACACAAACAUCUCAAUAUAUCUUGGAGUAGACAUGACCCCAAAACUCCCUCGACGGGCUAUUGAAGUCGCCUUGGUCCAAUCUCCACUAAGGUAGACAUGACCCCAAAAAUACCCUCUGUCAAACACUGGCCCCCCCAAAGGAGCUACACAGGGCAUUCCAACAUGUACUUGCCCAACUGACCUGACACAAUGACAGGAGCCGAAGCUUAGGCUAUUGGAGUCGCCUGGGUCCACCUAAUCUCUGAUCACAUCAUAUGCAAUGCAUCACAUUCGUGAAUCUAAUGCAAUCACCCUAAUAUAUAUCAUAGCAUUCAUGAUGCAUGAACUAUGCUAAAGCAUUCUGUUUCUUUAAUAAAAGAUUAAGGUUAGUUCUACUCACCUCUGCUCCGCAAGCAGAAACCUGACUGACGCUGCAACUGCUAAUCCUGACGACCUCCCUGAACUGUCGGGUCCAAUCCUACACAAAUGGACUCGAAUGAGGUGUCAAACAUACUCUUAUCAAUUCUUAAACCAAGCCCCUAUAAUCCCCUCUGAACCUCUGAAAACAAUCACAUAAACAUGCAAAAGAAGGCUGGACAGAGCACCUUCGGCGGCACCUUCGGCGGCCGAAUNNNNNNNNNNNNNNNNNNNNNNNNNNNNNNNNNNNNNNNNNNNNNNNNNNNNNNNNNNNNNNNNNNNNNNNNNNNNNNNNNNNNNNNNNNNNNNNNNNNNNNNNNNNNNNNNNNNNNNNNNNNNNNNNNNNNNNNNNNNNNNNNNNNNNNNNNNNNNNNNNNNNNNNNNNNNNNNNNNNAGAAAACCUUCACUCUUACCCUUCUAGAACCUCUGACAUUCUGGAAUUCCACCGGAUGGUAAGAAUUCUGAUGCCUGAACUAGCCGGGUAUUACAACCAGGGUCCAUUAAAGCAUACACAUUUGAGCAACCAAUGAUGAGAUUACCUGACACCACGGUGUUGGAUGUGUUUGCCUCCUGCUGUGUCAUAGUGAAGAUCUGAGCUGGAGCUGAUGGACCUUCACCCCGGGAACCUACUGAAGAAGAGGCUGCCCCUCUCCUUCUGCCUCUGCCACUACCAUGAGUCGAGGCUGGAGCUACUGGCUGAGCCACACUAUCAGAUGCCGUCUGCUGGGAUGGUGCCAUAAAAGGUGCCCUAGGACACUCCCGAGCCAUGUGUCCCCCCUGCCCGCACCUGAAGCAGGCUGUGGUCCCAAACCGACAUACUCCCUUGUGUGGCUUGCCACACCUCAAGCAUUCUGAACCAUCUAAACCUGAGCUCGAGCCACCACCUAAACCCAGGCCUAACUUCAAACGGUUCCAGAACUUGCCUUUCUUGGUCUUGGAUCUACCCCACUUUUUACUGCCUGAAGCUGCUGCACUCAGAGAAGAGAGAUCUAACUUUCCCCCGCUUGGGGUCUUGGAACCCGAGGACUGUGCCACUGUCUGCUUAACUGUCCCCUGAAUAAUGGCACUGGCCUCCAUCUUUCGUGCUGCAUCCACUAUGGUGUGGAAGUCCUCUCUCUCUGCGGCCAAAAUUAGGGAGGAAUACCUAGGGUGGAGCCUCAUGGUAUACCUCUUGGCCUUCUUCUGAUCUGCAUCAUAUGCCUGGGCCCACAUAUUGCAGCAACUCCAGAAACUUGUCGGUAUACUCAUCGACACUCAUCUCCUCUGUCUGUCGUAGCUGCUCAAACUCCACAACUUUCAGCUCUCUGGAACUGUUUGGAAAUGCCCAUCCUGCAAACUCAUUUGCAAACUGCUCCCAGGAUAAGCUGUCCAACCUCGGGUCCACAUAAUUCUUGAACCAUUCUCUUGCUUUCUUGCAUUUCAGUGUGAACCCCAUCAUCUGAAUGGCUCUACUGUCAUUUGCCCCCAACUCAUCUGUAAUCAUCUUUACCGUUUUGAGAUACUCAAACGGAUCAUCUCCCGUCUUGAACUUGGGAGCAUCCAGCUUCAAGUAAUCGGUCAUCUUUACCUUGCUCCCCACAGAUGAGCUAGGCUUGGGUGUUUGGGUUUCAGGGGCUACUGGUUCUGCUGGUGGAGAAGGAGGUGCAGCAUUCCCUGGGUUAGGGUUUGUUGUACUUGGGUAGAAGGGUGAGGGUGGAUACAUGGGGUACUGGGGAUAUGGUGGGUAAAAAGGAGGGUAGGGCAUGUAAGAGGGAUAUGGGUUGAAGUUGGAGUACUCCGAUGUACCCCCCAUCGGAUACCAUAGGCCCUGUGGAAAGGGUUGAUACUGGGGUGGAUAACCAAACCCCGAGGCCUGAGCGCCUCCUUGAGAUUCUCCUAUGCCCUCUUCCGACAUGCUCAUGCCCAAGCUACCAUCUCUUCUCUGCUCAUCCUCCUUUGAUCCCGUUACAUCAGCUGACAAACCACCUUGAACUGUUCCCCUUUUGCUCACAUCAAAAGACCUUCUAGGGUCCCUUGAUGUUCCCUCUCUACUUGAUCUGCAUGACAUUGCCCUUGGCAAAGCAGGGGGACGGGCAUCCAUGCCCUCAUUCUCUAGUGGGACUCCAGUCAAUCGUGCAGAUCGAUGAGUGCCUCGCAUCUUACUUCUAAAAAACAACAUACAACACAUAAACAUCAGUAUCAAAUGGUUCAUGUGGAAACACAUGAACCCACAUCACAUACAUCACAUAACACUAAUGCACAUGCAUAUCAUUAUGGCAUUUCACAUCAUUAUCAAGACAGGACUCUAUAUCCUAUCCUAGUGGACAUGAUUCUUCCUAUUGUGCUUGCCCUUCUAUAACAUCUAUGAGCCCGACACACUCUAGGUCCGACCAUAUGAACCUAGGGCUCUGAUACCACUUUGUAAUGACCCGGAAACCGGACCGCUACCGGCGCUAGGAUCCAGAUCGACUUAAGGUCGCCGGGACCCGUAGCAAGCCUACUAUACAACCUGUACACCUGAUUAAAUCCCAUACAUGAUCAAACAUUUUUAUAACAACUUUAAACUUUCCAUAUACUAACCUUGACCUGUGCAUGCACCAUAACUGUAAACACAAAACCCCACACUAGAGCCCUCAUCAAAUGCCCUAGCGGGGUAGCAUAUCAUAUGUUAAGCCUGAUUCAACAUAAUUCAUCAUCAAAACAUUAACACAAGAUCAUGUACAAAAAAGGGAUUACCGCUACUAUUAGGGCCAAGCACAAAACUAAAACAUGAAACAUUCUUUACAUUACAUUACAUCAUACCAUUUUACAUUUCAUGUCCACUACUAAUCUAUUACAAUAACACAGCUUUCAAUCUUGACGACUUCCCGAUCUAUCCUGAACCUGCAAACCUUGGGGUUAGGGGAAAGGGGGUGAGCUACAAAAGCCCAGUGAGCAGAAAAAUAAAACAAUUUCAAUAUCACAUGUUUUUAUGAAAUGCAUCACAACACAAGUAAAUCACCUUAAGAUAGUAUUGUCACCAAUAGCCCUCUACAUAUCCAAUAAAUGCCCGGCCCUCGACGGAGCUGCUCAGGACUUCCUCUUAAACAUAACAUAACAUGUCCAACUGUACCAGGGGUGUAGAAUGGGCAACCCUGGUCUUUCCCUUACUCUGUGCCAGGGGCGUAGAAUGGGCAGCCCUGGUCUUUCCAUAUCAUAUCAUCAUAUAUCGAGAGCUAAUGGAUCAUCCAAUAUCCAUCCACAUCAACAACAAAUUAUGCAAUGCAUCAUAUUCGUGAAUUCUAAUGCAACAACCUAUAAACAUGGCAAUCGUGAUGCAUGAACAUGCUUAGGAGUUUAAUUACUUUAAAAAUAGAAAGUAGUUCUGUUCUACUCACCUCUGGUAGAUACUGGACUGACUCUGAAGCAGCUAUCUCACUGCUGAACUCCUCGGUUCCUCGAGUCCGAUCCUACACAGGUGGACUCAAAUGAGGGACCAAACAAACUCUAACAUGACUCUUAGCAACUCCCCAAAAACUCCUAAAACAUCAUAAAAUAUUCAUAGAAAACAUGCAAAGGAAGGCUGCACAGGGCACUUUCGGCGGCAGGUUCGGCGGCCGAAAGUCCCUCCAGAGCCGAAAGUCCGGCACUUUCGAGGGCAGGGGUCGGCGGCCGAAAGUCCUUCUAAAGCCGAAAGUCACCCACUUUCGAGGGCAGGUUCGGCUGUCGAAAUUACCCUCCAAAGCCAAAAGUCCAAACUUUCGGGGGCGAGUUUAGGCGGUCUAAACUGCCUUCCCUGGCAGGUUCGGCGGUCGAAUCCUGCUUCGGCGACCGAACCUGGAUCCUUCGGAGUGGCAGAACUCGAUUCUGCCAUCCCACAUUCAGCCAUCCCAACUUUCCAACAUGCAUUCAACUAUUCUAAAACAUGCAUAAACACUUAUUCAAGCAUAUAGGGGCAUAAAACUAGCCUAUACCCCAAGAAACAUCACAUUAAGCAUACAUUUAUCAAUAACCACACAUAAACUCUAACAUUUUUACAACUAGCCUAAACAUACAUCAAAACCCUUAACCCCUUCAUAAAACUUACUUAAAACAUCAUAAGAGGUGUGGAUCGACAUUUACCUCUUGAAGAUCGAGAGGAGAGUUGAUCCAAACUUGGAGAUUGGGAGAAAACGAGCUCCAGGGGUCUCCAAGCUUCAAAACUCUGAUCUUAGCUCAAAACCUUCAAAACAAAGUAAAAACCCAUCAAAACUUCAAGGGAUUUGAAGGAAAACAACAAAUCGACCAUGGAAGGGCGAAAUCUCACCUAUGCCCGAAAAUAGAGAGAGAAAACUCGCCCAUUUUCGGACAAGGGGCCUUUUAUAGGUGGCUGGCCAGACCACCUUCGGGGGCCAAAGGUGCUUCCGCAAACUCCCAAUGUUCGGCGGCCAAACUUGAGGUUCGACGGCCGAACUUGGGUUUUCUUCCUUGGUCUUUUUCUUUCAAAACUCAAUUUCUUUCUUUAUUAAAACCAUAAAAACACAUGAAAACACUUUAGAAAACCAUAUUCUACGCUUCUAGAGGGUUACGACAUCUGAGAUUCCGUCGGAAAGUGGGAAUUCCGAUGUCGGGGUCUGGCCGGGUGAUAGAGCAUAUUUUAGUCCAUAUUAUCCAUAUGUUCUUGAUGUUUAUUUGCAUCUUUUCUGCUUAAUUUUGUGGUUUUAAUCAUGCUUUGCAGAUAUUAGGUGUAAAGAGACAAUCUGGAGAAAAUGCUCUUCAAACUGCCAAAAAGUGCCAAAUAUGGAAAAUGCCAAAAAAGGAAAGUUUUCAAAUAUGGAAAGUGCUAAAUAAGGAAAGUUUUCUGAUAAGGAAAGUGCCAGACAAGGAAAGCACAAUCAACAGAUUCUUUGAAAUUCAAAUUGCAGAUUCUUCUUUCCUUAUUCAGAAGGUGAAGCCAAUUAUGGAAAGUGUCAAAUAAGGAAAGUUUUCAGAAAAGAAAAGUCCUCAAAUAAGGGAAGUGCAGAAGCAAAAGCAAAUAAGGAAAGCUCAGUUAGAAGAUUAUUUGAAAUUCAAAUCGCAGAUCUUUCUUUCCUCAUUCAAAGAUGUGCACACACUGCAACAGUCAUAUCUUCCUAUUCAGGCAGCAAGAUCUCAUGAAGACGCACUUGCCUCUUCUGCGUUCAGCAUUUAAAAUUCAAACGAAGGCUCCACCUAAAAAGGAAAGACUGGAAAGAUUCACUUUCCCUUCUGCAUUCAAUGACUGCGCUCCACUUCCUCUUCUGCAAUCCGCGCGCAUCCUUCCUCUUUUGAAGCCUGAUCCGCGCGCCUCCUUCCUUCUGGAGAAUUUGCAACGCGAUUCUUUCCUUUUUAGCACUUUGGGCAGCCUCUUCACUAAUUAGGAAGCAAGUAUGACCUAGGACAGUACUUUCAACUAUAAAAAGACACAUAAGGAGCCUCCACACAACUUUUACACACCACCUUGGAGACACCUACGAAAUUCACAUCUCUUCUUCUACCUUUCUUCUUUUCUUUUAUUUUUAAUUUUGUUUCAGCCAUGAGAGGCUGAAAUCUUUUAUUCUAGUUGAAGAUUAGGUGAUACUUUAGUUGUUUUAUGGAUUGGGAGACUUGAUUAAACAUUGUUAAACUUUUGGUUGUUCAAUAUUCAUGCAAUUUCAUGCUUGAUUUCAAUAUUACUUUGUUCUUUAGAUUUACGUUGAUUCUUGAUUGCAAAGUAAUAAUAUGUUAGUUUGGAUGAUUUAAGUCCGUAAUUGCUUGAGUUAUUCAAACAUAAGAACACUUGGUGUAAAAACUAAGGAAAUUGUAUGAUCUAGCAACAUCUCAUGCGUUUGAGUAGUUAGGAUUGGAUCUCUCUCUUUCUUCAUGCAAUUAACAAUUGUUUGAUGCCUAAGGUCCAAGGACGUUCCUUGGGAAUUUGUUAAUUAGUAAUUAAUUAGAGGACGUUCCCUAAUUGGUUUAAUCAUAAGGAGAGACAUGGUGGUGCGAAGCGUCUUCCAUCUCCAUAACUAAUCUAUUGAAUCAAUCAAAAGAAACUAAGUGUCAAUGAUCAAUCCCAACAACUGAAGUGGAUCCAAUUCUUCAACUAGAGCUUUCUUAUUAUUUAUUUUUUUAUUUUAUUAUUCGCUUAUUUUAAUUGUUUUCAGUAGUUUGUUAAUCAAAUCAAUCUCAAACCCCUCAUUUUACUUUUACUGUAAUUUAUUUUUAUUCCACUUUCAGUUUAUCUCGUUUUCAGUUUUAUCUCGUUUCAAUUUAUUUUGCUUUUCGUUUAUUUCUCUUUCAGUUUUAUCUCGUUAUAUCUCGUUUCGGUUUAUUUUGCUUUCCGUUUAUUUCUCUUUUAGUUUUAUCUCGUUUCAGUUUAUCUCAUUUUCAGUUUUCUUCUUUUUCAGUUUAUUUUUGUUUUAGUUUAUUUUAUUGGUCUUGAUAAGGAAAAUAGGUAAGUUCUCAAUUCCAUGUGGAUUCGAUCCUUUCACCACUAUUUGCAGUUGUAAAUUGUUAAUAACCAGAAAGGUUAUUUUUGACCGGCUUCGACAACCGCGAGUCACCAGAUAUUACAAUUUAGGCUUAAAGGGUUGGAAAAUUUAAUGGGGUCAUGAGAUAGGAGGCUCUUUUAACUUUGUCAUUUAUGCUGAGUAGAGCAAAGGCUAAAAAAAAAUCUCUGUGUGUGUGCAUGUGUGCAGAAGUGGAAAAGAAAUGUGUGUGAGAAAAAAAAUUUUGGUGUGUGUAAAAGGGUAGAAAAUGCAAAAAGAAGAAAAAAAGAAAGCAAAAGAUGGUGCAAACAGUGCAAAAAUGUUCUCUAGUACCCCCACACCUAGUCUAAACAUUGUCCUCAAUGUAAAAUGUAUAAAGAAGAAGAAUGAGAGAGAGAGGGACUUCCUAGCCUGUGGGUGAUUUGGUCAGUGACUUGGGCAAAUCACUCGGCCAAAUCACUAGCUGUCAUGGUCUGUGGGCAGAAAAUUAUCUACUAGCAGUUGCAGUAAGUGCUCCAUGUGUUGCAUUCUAUCUUCAAUUCUGCUGAGACGAGCGUCUACUGUCUGAUCUUGAGGUGCUUCUGGUGGUACCUCUUCUGCUUCUUGCUGUGGUGCCUCUGGAGGUGCCUCUUCUGCUGGUUCCUUUACUACCACCUUUACUGUCUCAUCUGCUGGUUCUUCUACUGGAGCAGAGUGCUGAGAGGUUGUUGGCUGAUUGGCUAUUUUCUUUCUGAAUACACGCUCAUGGCGUGGUGUGAUGGGUCCUGCAGGUGCAAUAGAAAAAACUUCCCCCAUUUUGCAAAGCAACCCCAUAUCAUCCAAAGUGCGAAGGUCCAGGGGGGUUAGUUUGUUGGUGGGGGUAAGGUCAGUGUGAGUAGGAUGUAGUAGUUUCAUAUUUACUGCAAUGGAAGUGAUCAAAUGGCCAAGGAUCAACCCAGUAGCCCAAGUAAAGUUUUUGGUUUGUGGACAUACUCCAUAUAAUGUAUAACUCUGUUCCGGUCAGGAUGUUGGGUGCAUCCUUCCUCCCAGAAAAUGUAUAUGCUAAGAACCUGUGUAAAUACUUAAGGCAGGGAUUUCUGAUGUACAGGUCUUUGGACUUUGUGGGUGAGUAUGUGUCAGGUGGGUUGUCACACAAUUCCUCAUAGGCAGUGCCGGGAUUGAACUCAGUGGGGAAAUCUCAGGUGGAAUCAGGCAUUCACAACCCAUGGCAGCACUGAAUUCAUGCAGGGACAAGCGAAAUCACUGUCCUAACAGCCUAAAUCCAACAGUAUCUGGUGUGUGCAGUGUGGUCAUGGCUGACUUGUCAAAAUAGAAUGUAGUGAAGAACUCAUGAGUGAGCUCAGUGAAGGCAGGCAUGUGUAGAUAGAAAAAAGUGUUCCAUCCAAUUGCAUCAACAAAAAAGCAUACCUGUUCUUGAAGUCCUAGUGCUUCAAGUGUGCUGUGAUGGAUGAACUUACCUGGGUGGUAUGGCAGAGAAGAGACAUUGUCCAGCCUGGAGCGUUCGGAUGGCUUGUUGAAGGUCAGGGCCUUUGUCACAUGGUCUGGGUUUGCUGGUUUGGGCAAAUCGUUGGGCAAAUUGCCUUCGUCGUGGCUCACAGGAGAUGUGUUUGGUGCAUCACUGGGGACUUCUGGCCGUCGCUUUGGGCUCGGCGGUGGUGAUGAUGAAGGCGUUCUUGGCCAUUUCUGUCCAUGGCUAGUGGAAGGGGUGGCGUCAGAAAGCGAUUCGUCUUUAGGGGUAUCUAUCGCGAUGGUUGGUGUGGCAGGUGGUGGGGCAAUCAUCGAUGCCCUAGUUUGUCGGCGAUAAGUCUGGGCGACUAGUCUUUCGAUGUUUCUUGUUUCGUCAGCCGUCCCUGUGUUCGUGUCAUCGGCGAUGGGGGGAGGGUUGUCUAUGGCCUCCUCGUCACUGUGAGUGGGAAUACGAAUGGGCCUGGGCAUCCCGCGCUUCCUCCACAUGCCGGGGCCGCCGGUGGCCAUCAUCUUGGUUCUGGCCAUGGUUCUUGAUGUCGUCAGUGAUGGAAAUCUUGGGGAAGAAGAAACAAAUGAAGCAGAAAGAGAUAGUGUGAGGAAAAAGAAAAAAGAAAAGAAAACUAUUUAAAGUGAUUUGGGGAAGUUGAACUGCCCUGAUCAUUAAAUGCUGAGUUUGUGACUUCUCGGUAGGGUGGUUUGGCAGUGAUUUGGGUAAAUCACCUGGCCAAAUCACUUCUUCGUUGCAAUUGCUUGAUUGGCCCUGGUCACGUCCUUUUCUGUUGAUGGUCGAGUCUUGUCGCUUUGGCCUGUCGAUUUGGGCAAAUCACCUGCCCCAAUCACUCGUGACUAUGGUACAGUAAGUCGAUUUGCCCCAGUGAUUUGGGCAAAUCACUUCAGCUGGGCUGCCUCCCAGUAGCGCCCUGGUUUUUUGUCUUGGGCUGGACUGCUGUGCCUUGAUCAGCAGGUUGGGGGAGGGGUAUCCAAGGGUACUUCCUCCAUAAGGUGCACAGUAAAUCCCUCAUAGAAGUGCUUCAAAUGUUGCCCAUUAACUUUGAAAAUCUUGCUUGUUUCUGGAUUGCGUAUGUCUACAGCCCUAUGUGGAUAGAUGUGUUCCACCAAGAAUGGCCCAAUCCAUCUAGACCGAAGCUUCUCAGGAAAUAAUUUGAACCUUGAGUCGAAAAGCAAGACCUUAUCACCUACCUGAAAUUGUUUUCUGGAGAUAUGUUUAUCAUGGAAGGCUUUAGUCUUGGCUUUAUAGUCCCAUAAAGCUUCAUAUGCAUCACGCUGAAUUUCCUCUAGUUCUUGAAGUUGUAAUUUUCUGUGGGCUCCAACUUCUUUCUCAUUAAGAUUACAUCUUUUAACAGCCCAAUAGGCUUUAUGUUCAAGUUCCACGGGUAGAUGGCAAGCUUUCCCAUAGAUCAGCCUAUAUGGGGACAUUCCAAUUGGUGUUUUGUAGUCUAUUCUAUAUGCCCACAAGGCAUCAUUGAGGCACACACUCCAAUCCUUGCGAUUUGGGCAGACUGUCUUCUCAAGGAUGGACUUGAUCUCUCUAUUUGAUACUUCGGCCAGCCCAUUUGUUUGAGGGUGAUAGGCAGUGGAGGUUCUAUGGACAACAUGGUGCUUUUUGAGGAGGGUUUCCACUACCUUGUUGCAGAAAUGAGUGCCUCUAUCACUGAUUAUGGCUUUGGGCAAACCGGAUCUGAAGAAGAUGUGGGAUUUCACAAAGUCUACAACCACUUUUGCAUCAUCAGUCCUUGUUGCUUUGGCCUCAAUCCACUUGGACACAUAGUCCACGGCCAGCAGUAUGUAGGUGUUGCCAAAGGAAGGUGGGAAUGGUCCCAUGAAGUCAAUACCCCAUAUUUCAAAGAUUUCACAAACCAUGAUGGGUGCUUAUGGCAUUUCACUUCGAUUGCUGAGGUUUCCCGUUUGUUGGCAUCUUGCACAUGCCCUACAAAAUAGAUAAGUAUCUCGAAAUAUGUUAGGCCAAUAUAACCCACAUUCAAGGAUCUUUAGGGCUGUUUUGCAUGGACCAAAAUGUCCUCUAUAGCCGUAUGAGUGGCAAAAGGCUAGGACUGAAGAAAUUUCUUGAUCAGGGAUGCAUCUUCGUAUUACUUGGUCUGCACAAUGCUUCCAUAGGUAAGGUUCAUCCCACAGAUAAUCUCUUGCAUCUUUCUUGAUCUUGUCUCUCAUGUAUUUGGGCAAAUCAAAAGGUAAAUUACCUGUAGCUAGGUAAUUUACUAUAUUAGCAUAUCACGGUUCUUCUUCUUGGAUAGCAAAUAGGUACUCAUUAGGGAAGGUUUCAUUGAUGGGGCAUGUCUCCAUUUCUGAAGGUAUUCGGCUGAGGUGAUCAACUACAAGGUUCUCCUUCCCCUUUUUGUCAUAGAUUUCCAGAUCAAAUUCUUGUAACAGCAGUAUCCAGCGUACCAGCCUUGGUUUUGACUCCUUUUUCUUGACCAAAUACCUCAAUGCAGCAUGAUCUGAAUAGAAAAUCACCUUUGUCCCAAGUAGAUAGGACCGAAAUUUCUCCAAUGCAAAACAUUACGGCCAGCAACUCUUUUUCUGUUAUGGAGUAAUUAUAUUGUGUUGCAUCUAAGGUGCGUGAGGCAUAGUGAAUGACAUGAGGAGAGUUACCUAUGCGCUGUCCCAAUACUGCACCUACAGCAAGUUACUGGCAUCGCACAUGAUCUCAAAUGGAAGGGUCCAGUCAGGAGGCUGGAUGACUGGGGUAGUGACCAGCAGUGAUUUGAUCAAAUCAAAGGCUGUUCUGCAGCUUUCAUCAAAGUCAAAUGGCACAUUCUGUUGAAACAGCCUGCACAAUGGCUGAGUUAUCUUGGAAAAAUCUUUGAUGAACCUCCGGUAGAAACCAACAUGGCCAAGGAAUGAGCGAAUCUUCCGAAUGAUGGUUGGAUAGGGUAGGCUCUUGAUGGUGUCCACUUUGGCUUUAUCUACCUCUAUCCCUUUUGCAGAAACAACGUGGCCUAGGAUUAGACCGUGGUUGACCAUGAAGUGACACUUCUCGUAGUUUAAGACCAGAUUUGUCUCCAAGCAUCUUUGAAGUAUCUUCUCCAAGUUGGCUAGGCAUUCAUUGAAUGAGUUGCCAUACAUCGUGAAAUCGUCCAUGAAGACUUCAAUAAUCUUCUCCACAUAGUCAGAAAAAAUACUCAUCAUGCAUUGUUGGAAUGUGGCUGGUGCAUUACAAAGGCCAAAGGGCAUCCUCCUAAAUGCGAAGGUGCCAAAUGGAUAGGUGAAGGUGGUCUUUUCUUGAUCUUCAGGUGCAACAGGGAUUUGAUAAAAUCUCGAAUAUCCAUCUAGACAGCAGUAGUGGCUUUUUCCUGCAAGUGUCUUAAGCAUUUGGUCCAUGAAGGGCAAGGGAAAGUGGUCCUUCCUUAUGGCUGCAUUGAGCUUUCUAUAAUCCAUGCACACUCUCCACCCAUUUUGCACACAAGUAGGUACUAGCUCUCCUUCAGAAUUGGGGACAAUGGUAAUCCCAGUCUUCUUUGGUACUAUAUGGAUAGGACUCACCCAUUUGCUGUCAGAGAUGGGGUAGAUGACCCCAGUGUCAAAGAGCUUCACUAUUUCUUUCUUCACAACCUCCAUCAUUGGGGGAUUCAGCCUUCUUUGAGCCUCACGGACAGGUUUGCACUCCUCUUCCAUAAGUAUUCGUUGCAUGCAUGUUGAUGGUGAGAUGCCCUUUAUGUCUUCCAAGGUCCACCCUAAGGCUUUUUUGUGCUUUCUCAACACCUCUAGGAGACUUUCUUCUUCUUGUUGGCUUAGCUGAUUAGACAUUAUGACUAGUAGUGUUUUUUCAGCUCCUAAGUAGGCAUAUUUGAGGUGCCCUGGUAGAGGUUUCAGAUCUGGUGCAGUUGCUGUCUGCUCACUGAUUUAGGCAGAUUGUCUAAUGCAUGUUCUGGUGAUCUGGUCAAAUCACCCUUAGUCAUGUCUGUAUGUCCCAGUGAUAUGGGCAAGUCAGGAUCUGCAUGUUCUGUUGAUUUGGUCAAAUCAUCUGCAACCAGUAAGGUACAGCAUGUUGUCUCCCCUGCAUCUAUCUUGGUGUUGCUGCUGUCCAUGUCUUCUUGCUUGCAUAAACCAGCAUUAAGUAUGUUAUCUUGAUCAAAAUUAAAGAUUUCUUGACUUAAAUCAUCAAUAAUAUCAAGGCCAUAAACAGGAGACACAUCAUUGGGAAAUUUCAUGGCAUCAUAAACAUUAAACUUGAUAACUUCCCCUUCAAACUCCAUAGUCAAUGUGCCAUCAUGCACAUCAAUUUUGGUUAUGGCUGUGCUCAAGAAUGGUCAUCCAAGUAGGAUGUCAGAGGUUGUGUUGCUUUUAUCCUCCUCCAAGUCAAUUACAUAAAAGUCUGCUGGGAAGACUAGUUGAUCCACUUGUACUAAUACAUCUUCUAGGACUCCUUUGGGGUAAACAAUGGAUCGGUCGGCCAAUUGGAUCACUAUGCUGGUGCCCUUAAGUGUACCUGCAUUCAACAAGUUAAAGAUGGAAAGUGGCAUAACGUUGAUUGAUGCCCCAAGGUGACACAUGGCCUUCUUUAUCCCCACGUUGCCUAUCUUGCAUGAUACGACAAACAUUCCUCUAUCCUUGCAUUUGGUUGGAAGCUUCCUUUGAAUGACAGCUGAGACACACUCCCCCACACUUACCUUUUCACGUUCAGCAAGUUUCCUUCGAUUGGUGCAUAGCUCUUUGAGAAAUUUGGCAUACCUUGGUAUUUGUUUGACAGCAUCUAGUAGAAGUAUGUUGAUUUCCACCUUGCGGAGUGUCUCAAGCAUUUCUCUUUCCUCUUUUUCUUUCUGGGAUCUUGCAAAUCUUCUUGGGAAGGGGGGAGGUACCUUAAAUUUCUCCAUUGGUUGCUGGUCUGCCUUGGUCUGCUUGGAGCUGGAUUCUGCCUGGGUCGUUGAUUUGGAAAAAUCAACUUCUGCCUUAUCUGGAGAUUUGGGCAGAUCGUCUCUGCUGGGCAGUUCAGUUUGUCCACUGAUUGGGUCCGCGAUUUGGGCAAAUCGACGCCCCUGAUCAUUUUCUGGCAGAUUCUCCUCAGUGACCUGUUUCUGCAUUUGCUCAGCCCUGCUGUCUUGAAGCUCUUUCCCACUUCUCAAUGUGAUGGCACUAGCAUUCUGCCUUGGAUUGAUUUCAGUUUAGGAGGGUAGCUUUCCUUGUGAUUCAAGUUUACUCAUUGAAGUGGCCAUUUGACUCAUUUGCUGCUCAAGGUUUUGCAUAGUGUUUGCUAGGGACUUCACAAUCUCUUCAAGGGGUGUGUUGGACUUUUGAGGUGCAGCUGGGGCUGGAUUUCUUUGCUGGUAGCUUGGAUAUUGAUUGGCCCUUGCAUAACUGAAAUUUGGGUGGUCCCUCCAACCUGGGUUGUAGGUGUUAUAGAAUAAGGAUCAUACCUUCUUUGCCCAUUAAAUCUGCCAACUACAUUUACUUGUUGGUCCUCUUCUUGGAGGGAAGGACAUAGAUCAGUUGGGUGGUUUAUGUUUGCACAUAUCCCACAUGAUUUUGGCUACUGAAUUUGCUGGGCUUGUUGGGUUUGACCCACAAUAAGGCUACGGACAGCAUUAGUGAGAUUAGAGAUUUGAGAUGCUAAAGUGGAUGUACUCACCUCAUUCACCCUUCUUGGUGGCUGUUCUUAGUCUCCAAAUUGCUGAGAGGCUGCUGCCAUGGUGGAAAUUAAAUUCCUUAUUUCUUGAGGUGAUUUGUCUUCAAUUGAUCCUCCACAUGCUGCAUCAAUAAAUUUUCUUUCUGAAGGUAGUAAACCUCCAUAGAAAUAUUCGAUGAGUGAUUUGUCAGAAAUAUCAUACUGAGGGCAGCUUGUGCAUAACCUUUUGAACCUCUCCCAGUACUCAUACAAGCCUUCAGAAUGCUUUUGCCUUAUGCCACUUAUCUCUCGACGGAUGCCAAUGGCUUUUGAGGUUGAAAAGAAUUUGCUCAAUAAUGCUCUCACCAUACCGGCCCAUGAUGUGAUGGAUCCGAGUGGCAAGUAGAAUAGCUAAUCCUUAGCAUAGUCAUCAAGGGAAAAAGGAAAAGCUCUAAGUUUAACAUGAUCUUCUGAAAUACCUUGGGGUCUCAUGGUUGAGCACACAAUAUGGAAUUCCUUCAAAUGCAUGUGGGGAUCCUCAUUUUCUAGGCCUCUAAAUUUGGGAAGGAGAUGGAUCAGGCAUGUCUUUAAUUCAAAGGGUGCUAUCAAUAGGGGAUAGGCAAUGCAUAAUGGUGCCUGAUCUCCUGCUGGUACAGCUAGCUCGCGGAGUGUUCUCUCCCGUGGCUGUGGUGCACGGAUGGGCACAUUUUCAGCUUCAGCUUCAACUUCUUCAUAUGCAGCAGGUGGUUCUACCAUUGUUUGAUUUUCUGCAGUAACCUGAAAUUCUGUUUCUGGUUCAAAUGCAGCAGUAGCAGGUGCGGCAGUAGGCGAAUUUGCUGGUGCAAUAAAUUCUGCAGCAGGGGCAGUAGCUAUUUUAUCAGAUGGUUCAACGGCAGAUUGAGUGGUAGACACUCGACUUGUUGCUGUCGCCGAUGAAGAUGCUUUUGAGGCUUGGUUCCUCAAGUUUGCUUGCUUUUUCAAGCUCUUGGCAGUGCGUUCUAUCUCCAGAUCGUAAAGAAGAGUUUCUUUACGGCCAGCCCUGGUCAUAAAGGGAAAAUACGUUAGUUUAAAUCAAAUCCCCAGCAACGGCGCCAAUUUUUUAUAGCGGUUGUUGAAGCCGUAAAAAAUAAACCUAUUAUAGUGGCAAUAGGGUCGAACCAUAGGGAUUUGAUACUAAAGAUCUUCCUAAUUAUGACUUGGACAAGUAAAUAAAAAAAAUAAAUAAAAAGAGGGGGGUUUGUUUUGAUGAUAAUGAAUUAAAACUAAAUAGUAAGAGAAAGCGAUAGUUAAAAAGAUGAGUAAAUCAAUGGGAGAAAAGCUCUAGUUGAAGUAUGAAUCUAUUUCUGUUGUUUAGAAUUGAUCAUUGAUUCUUUGACACUCCUAUUUAUUUCAAUAAAUUAGUUUAGGUUGUGGAAGAUGCUUCUCACAACUAAAUUCCUCCUUAGUUUUAGUUUGACUAGGAAAUGUUCGCUAAUCAAAUACUAGUCAACAAGUUGCCAAGGAAUGUCCUUGGAGUUUUUUACUUUUCAACUGUUGACUACAUUAAGACUUAGAGAAACCUAAUUCUAACCUUGCCAACCGCGUGGUCAAGUUUAGAUUAUUCAACCAAGUGUGCUUAUGUUCAAACAAUAUAAGCAAUUACAGACCUAAAUUAUUUAAACUAACAAUUUAUCACUUAUGCAAUUAAAAGCAACAUGCCUUAAUUGAUUCUAAUAGCAAAGCAAUAAUAGCAUGAAGAACAAGUUGCAUAAAUAUUGAAAAAUAAAAGUUUAACAAUGGAGUUUUAAAUCUUUCAAUUCAUCACAAAACUGAAAUUUUCCAACUUCAACUAGAAUAGAAGGUGUUUAGCCAUUCAUGGUGGACAAAAAUACACAAAAAGAAAGAAGAAAAGUAGAAGAAGAGAGCUGCUGUGUUGCUUGCUGAAUUUCUGCAGUAAAUUCGAUGCCCCCCUGCUGGUUUGUUGCUGUCUCCUUUUAUAGGUGAAGUGUCUUAGUCCAAUUAGGAUUUGGAAUCCUAAUUUGACUUGGUCUUUUGUAGUCUUUUAUUCGUUCUUUGCUUUUGUAUUUAAUCAUGAAUAAAUCUUCUUCUUAGAGAAAGUCUUUCUUGGGAGUGACUCUUGGAGAUGUCAUAGGAUUGGUUUUGUGGUGUUUGAAGUAGGAUAGGACUCCAACAUUUUUGAAAUUAUGAUUUUUCCUUCUUCCCGGGCUGCUGUCCUUGUCUGCGUCAUUUUGAUUUGGGCAGUUGAUUUGGGCAAAUCGCUUGCCCAAAUCGUUUCUGUGAGUCACUUCCAGGUUUCUGCUUCAGCCUUCUGCUUCAGUUUUAUGCGGGUGAUUUGGCCAAAUCCCUUCGGCCAAAUCAAUUUUCCAGCUUUUUCUGCAAUUUUUCUCCAAGUUUCCAGUUUUCUCCUUUUCUGUAAAAAUAUCAUAAGAACAUGAAUUAAACUAGAAAAAUGUGUAAAUAAAUAGUAAUAAAGAUAGUAAAAAUAUGGCUAAAUUAUGUUUGAUCAAUAUCUAAACCAUAAACAGGGCACAUGUCAUAGGGGUAUUUCAUGGCAUCAUAAACAUUAAAUUUUAUUACUUCCCAUUCGAAUUCCAUGGUCAAUGUGCCAUCAUGCACAUCUAUCUUAGUUCUGGCCGUGCUCAAGAAGGGUCGUCCAAGCAAGAUGUCUGAGGUGGUGUUGCUAUUGUCCUUCUCCAUGUCAAUCACAUAGAAAUCUGCUGGAAAAACAAGUUGAUCCACUUGUACUAGAACAUCUUCUAGAACGCCUUUAGGAUAUACCACAAAUCUAUCAGCCAAUUGUAUGACCACUCUAGUGUCUUUAAGUGCACCUGCAUUCAAAGAAUUAUAAAUGGAAAGUGGCAUAACGUUAAUUGAUGCACCUAGGUCACACAUGGCCUUCUUGAUGCCCAGAUUGCCAAUUUUAAAAGAGACAACAAACAUCCCUCUAUCUUUGCACUUGGUUGGGGGUUUCCUUUUUAUCACGGCAGUAACAACUUCUCCCACACUCACCUUUUCCUUCUCUGCAAGCUUCCUUCAGUUUGUGCAUAAUUCCUUCAAGAACUUGGCGUACCUUGGUAUUUGUUUCACCGCAUCAAGCAAAGGUCUGUUAAUCUCCACUUUCCUAAAGGUUUCAAGGACCUCUCUUUCUUCUUUUUCUUUUUGUCAUUUUUCAAACCUUUUUGGAAAGGGAGGUGGAAUCUUGAAGCUUACUUGCUGGUUUGUAUUCUGCUGGUGUACUGGUGCUGUUUGCCCAGUCUGUUCGAGCAAACAGUGUUUUGGCUGCUUGGGCAAAUUGUCCUUGUCCUGCUGUGUAUGUUGUCUGCUUGUUUGCCCAGUCUGCUUGGGCAAACAGCAGUCUGUCUCAGUUUCUGGUAGAUUUUCUUCAGCAGCUCGUUUUGGCAAUCGUGAACCUCCAUCAUCAGCCUUGACAUCUUGAAGUUCUCUCCCACUUCUCAACACGAUAGCACUUACAUUUUGCUUGGGAUUUGCCUCGGUUUGGAAAGGUAAUUUCCCUUGAGAUUCAAGUUUGCUCACAGAGGUGGCUAUUUGACCCAUUUACUGUUGGAGACUUUGCACAGUAUUUGCCAAUGACUUCAUCAUCUCCUCAAGGUGCGUGUUGGAGUUUUGAGGUGCUGCUUGGGCUAGGUUUCUUUGAUAAUUUUGGUAAUUGUUAGCCCUAGCAUAGUUAAAGUUUGGAUAGUCCCUCCAAUCUGGAUUGUAAGUGCUAGAGUAUGGAUUAUGUCUUGGCUGGCCAUUGAAUCCUCCAAUUGCGUUUACUUGCUGGUCAUCCUCUUGAAGUGUAGGACAUUGAUCGGUUGGAUGUCCCACUUGUGCACAUAUCCCACAUGGCCUAAUUUGCUGAAGUUGUUGAGCUUAUUGGGAUUGACCUAUAAUAAGACUUCUCACAACAGAUGUUAGUUCAGAAAUUUGAGAUGUAAGAGCAGAUAUACUUACCUCGUUAGCUCUUCUUGGUAGCUGCCUUUCAUCUCCAUAUUGUCUAGAUGCGGCUGCAAGUGUUGAAAUCAGAUGUCUAAUUGCUUGAGGUGUUCUAUUUUCAAUUGAACCUCCACAUGCUACAUCAAUAAAUUUUCUUUCAGAUGGUAGCAAACCUCCAUAGAAGUAUUCUAUGAUUGAUUUAUCUGAGAUGUCAUGUUGAGGGCAGCUUGUGCACA
Molecule: long non-coding RNA, 40113 nt
Filed under: Manihot esculenta (cassava)
Lineage: Eukaryota; Viridiplantae; Streptophyta; Magnoliopsida; Malpighiales; Euphorbiaceae
Description: long non-coding RNA (MESC_LNC011885)
Source: RNAcentral